RNAcentral lists this long non-coding RNA (1148 nucleotides) under Monodelphis domestica (gray short-tailed opossum). RNAcentral's name for it is "lncRNA (ENSMODG00000044189.1)". Lineage: Eukaryota; Metazoa; Chordata; Mammalia; Didelphimorphia; Didelphidae. The record is from RNAcentral.
CCCGGAUCUAACAUGAGGGGAACAUUAGCAGCUGGGUUUCCUGUAUCGCCAGCGUGGAAGGGAAGCGCCUCGCCUAGUCUCCUUUCCCAGACUAAGAAGAGUCUUCUUCCGAGGGCCACAGAGCAAGGGCCAGGGGUACAACGGGAGCGUCAGGGACAGGGGAACGGGGAGGGCCAUGGAACAACAGGAAAGGACUUCUGUUUAUUGUGAACAGGUGAGGGCCGGUGCCAGCACCAUCGAGAAGCUACUGGUAAGGGGAAAUGGAACCCUGAGGACCUUUAGGAGCCCGGGCCUAGAGAGCACCUUUCGCCAUUGCGCCGCCUGCUUCUGUUGCUCCCUCUGCCUCCUCCUUCGGUAGUCUACGGAUCCUCGGCCAAAAUGGGGUCCAAGGAAAGGGGACUCCAUAAUUAUUUAACUGGUUGCAGGAGCUGGGGGCAAAACCCUUCCUCCGGGGAUGAGCUUUUCCUUCUCCGUGAAGUGAGGACGUUGGACCAGCUCCUUCCAGUAAGGGACCCUUAGAAGGAAAGAGCAUCAGAGAGGUGGCGCCUUUGGUGCCCAGGGGGAAAGGCGAGCCUGGAUUCGUGUGGGCAUAAUUGUGUGUGAAGGUGAGUCUGGUCUCCUCUCCCUGUCUCUCAAUAAAAACACCCCAUCUCAGCCCUGCACGAGGUCGGGAUGGGAAGAAGGGAGGGAAAUACCGUUUUUGCCUUUUCCCAGAAAGUACUGGAGCGAGAGCAGAGUUGUAGCCACGCCCUCAUUCUCCUCAAAAGGAUCUGCCUCUGCCAGAAUACAAAUUCGAAAGGGCAGAAGGGGAAACGGAGAGGAAAGCGGAUCCCUCCCAUAUAAACUGUCUUGUCAGGUCUGGGAGGAUCCUUGGAGUCCCAACCCCCUUAGUUUAAAGGGAAGGAAACUGAGGCUUGGAGAGGGGAAGGGGCUUGCUCGGGGUCACACAAUGACCGUGGCGGGGCUCCCAUUAGAACCCAGGUCCCCUGAUUUCCAGGCCAUGGCACUUUCCACUUCCUUUGCUGGAUGAGAGUGCAUUUGUGUGCGAGAUUACAAGGGGCUCUAGGUGUGGAGGGUGAAGAGGGAGAAAGCUGGAGCUCCCCAGCAGGGUCUCUGCCCUCUGCUCAGCUGCUGUGACUGACAAAAAG